CUUUGUGAGAAACCGGAGUGUGGAUUGGGUGUGGGCUGUGUGUGCCAUGAGCGUUCGUGUAUGCCCCCGUGUGCCAGUACUCGCACACCCACGUCCUGUGCUGGGGCUACUGACAAGGAGCUGGUCGCGUUCCCAGAAAUAUGCGUGGAUUCUGUGUUUCACCGCUCCUUACACCGAGGGUGUUUAUCAACCGCUGCCUGAAAACAAGAACAGGCUUUUGUGGCAUGCACACUCAUGUAACUGUGUCCUGUGGGGCCUGUGUCCAGCCCAUGUGUGUCCAGAUGCUGGCACUUGUCCCCAGGCCCUGAGAGCCUGGGGUCCCCGUGGUGCUGGAUGCUCUCCAGGGAGAUGUGCAAGCUGCAGUGACGCAGGAGCCCGUUGCUUGUUCUCACACAGCCCAUGGGCUGUCAAGGCCACUUCAGACCUUUGUCCCUGGGCCUGGUACCCUCUGUUACUGAACCAACCUUGCUCGCCAUGUAGCAAAGCCAACUUACUGACACUGUGGUGUGUGAAGAAAAGCACAGCGUUUAUUUGCAGGGCAACAAGCAAGGAGAAUGGACAGCUCAUGCUUGAAAGCCCCAACCCCUCACUGAUUUUCAGGGAAGGGGUUUUAAAGGCAACAUUUGGGACGAGGGUUGCAGCUCACGCGCCCUUCUUCUGAUUGGUUGGUGGUGAGCUAACAGAGUGGUGUUUUGGGAUUUUUGACCAACAGUCUUCUGGUUCCAGCCAGUCUGGGGUCUGCAUGCUUGUGAGUACAUCAUGUGAAAUGCCAGGCUGGAUGAAGCACAAGCUGGAAUCAAGAUUGCUGGGAGAAAUAUCAAUAAUCUCAGAUAUGCAGAUGAUACCACCCUUAUGGCAGAAAGUGAAGAGGAACUAAAGAGUCUUGAUGAAAGCAAAAGAAAGAGUGAAAAAGCUGGCUUAAAACUCAACAUUCAAAGAACUAAGAUCAUGCCAUCCAGUCCCAUCACUUCAUGGUGAACAGACGGGGAAGCAAUGGAAACAGCCAAACUCUGGUAGGGUUAAUGGUGGAAAUGGCGACCUCCUUCAAGAGGACUUAUGCCCGCAUGCUGCAGCUCCCAAGACUUCUGUGUUCAGUGCCCCUGACUCCAUGGCAGGCCUCUGUGGACCCACGCCUCUGCUGGAGACCCCUGGACACUCACAGUGCUCCUUCCAUCCAGAGCUCUCCUGCCCCCGUGGUCAGAAGGAAGAGGAGACCCAGCAAAAGGCCAGAUUCCAGCUGCUCGGAUUAGGUGGAAGAAAAGAAGACUGAAAUUUGCAGGAGGAGAUAUAGGAAGAUGUCUUUGUAUUCAUGAGAAGAGGAUGUUAGGAAAUAGAAGGAACAACGUGUCUCAGAGACUUAAACCACAGAGAGUGAUUUUGCCUUCAGGCUCUACAUGCAACCUAGGUCACACGGUCUCUUGUUCGACCCAGACACUCAGGGACUCAGGCUGACUGGGACCCUCCCGUCUGGGAUAACACAGCUGGGAAGACACACCGAGAGCCACACUCUGGCCCGUCUGUAUUUCGGCCCACUUGCUCAAAGCCUGUUGGUCAGAACCAAUCAUAUGACCCUGCACCGGUGUGGGGCAGUGUGGGAAGCAGGUUGAACGUUUAUGAACGCCACUGUUCCUGCCACAAACUCUAUCCUAGUACAUUAAAAUAUCAGAUGAAAUGGAUGAUUUUGAUGGAUGUAUAAAUUAGAAGAAUUGAUCCAAGAGAAAAGAAGUUGCAAGAGAUGCGCAGGAAGAAAUGGAAGAAAGAUUCUAAGAGUUACCUUCAAGAAAUGAGGCCCACCCAGGUGGUUUAGUGGCAGGAUAGUGAAUGUUUCUUGGGGGGUAAGAUGCUCCCAGAAUCCACUGGGGACUGUGCACCCUAUGUGGAGUCAACAGAAGGAAGCCAGGAGCAAGGGGCAGGAAGCGCCACCGCAGGGCAUUAGGGGAAGACGUGGGUCCCUGUCUCCCUCUCCAGUUACUCCCAGUCCAGUGGGGGUGCACUCAGGACCCUGCCACUUCUGUAAAUGCAAGCUGUUUACCUGGCAUUAUCCUGUCCUGGUUAAUUUCAUGUGUUAACUGGACCACAGUGUCCAGAUAUUUGGUUAAGCAUUGCUGUUGUUGUUCAGUCACUAAGUUGUGUCCAAAUCUCUGCGACCCUAUGGGCUUCAGCAUGCCAGGCUUCCCUGUCCUUCAUGGCCAAGGGCACUGCUGAGCUCUGGCCAGGAUGGUGCAGCCUGUGGGGUGCGGUGUGCUGCUGCUCCCAUGCCCCCAGCUCUUGCUCUGUGUGCUGCCUGCUCAAGACACCCACCCAGGCCUCUCUUGCUGUUCAGUUGCUCAGUCGUGUUUGACUUUGUGACCCUAUGGACUGCAGCAUGCCAGGCUUCCCUGUCCAUCACCAUUUCCUGGAGUUUGCUCAAACUCAGGUCCACUGAGUCAGUGAAGCCAUCCAGCCAUUGCAUCCUCUAUUGCCCCCUUCUCCUCCUGCCUUCAAUCUUUCCCAGUAUCAUCGUCUUUUCCAAUGAGUCAGCUCUUCACAUCAGGUGGCCAAAGUAUUGGAGCUUUGGUCAAGUAUUACUCUAUUUUUUUUUGGCCAUGCCACACAGCAUACUGGAUCUUAGUUCCUCAACUAGGUGGA
Molecule: long non-coding RNA, 2628 nt
Organism: Bos taurus (domestic cattle)
Lineage: Eukaryota; Metazoa; Chordata; Mammalia; Artiodactyla; Bovidae
Source: Ensembl